AUGCUCCCGCAUCCGCCCCCCGACGUCUCUCCCUGUUCCGAGGCCCCGAAGUGCUUCCCCACAACCAAGCGAAGAAAGCCCGGCGCUUCGCCUGCCGGGACCGAGCGACCGUCCCCGCCCCGGGACGUUCUCGCCCCUUCCAGGAAAGCCGCUGUCCGCGCUCCCGCCAGGACCUCCGCCCUCCGCAGGGGACUCCCCGCUCUGCUCCCUCCCCGCCCCCUCCCCGGGGUGUCUUCCCCCCAACUCCCCCCUCCAGCGCCUCCCGCUCCCCAGCGUCUCCCCCUCCCCGGGUUCCCCCCCAGCGUCUCCCCCUCCCCGGGUUCCCCCCCCCCACCCCACCCCCCCCCCCCCGACGCCGACCCCGCUCUCCUUCGGGAGGCCCGCGGCAGCCGCGCCGGGCGGGGACCACUUCCGGCGCGCCGCCCGCUCCCGUCGGGCCCCGCGGCCCCGCGGCAUGCCGGGAGCUCGGGGAAGGCGGCGCGCGGCCCGGCCGGCGGGCGCCCAGCGAGGGUGCUGAGCGCCGACCCUCCCCUCUCCCCGCUGCUCCGAGGAGGAGAUGCAGCCCCGUGGCCCUUACCCGAGCGGGUGCCAGCGCGACGAAACCGGCCACGCACCGGCCUCCCGCCACCGCCUUUAAACCACCGCCUGCUGCCGCGGAGAGGCGGCGCCGCCCGAUGCCGGCCUCAGCGAACGACGGCCCGAGCGGGACGCCGUCGUGCUCCUGAUUGGCUGGCUGCGCGGGGCCGCCUCGCUCGGAGACGCGGAGGGGCCGGGCGGGAAAGCCAGCUGUGGCCGGCGGCGAUUGGCGGAGGGACCCGGGACUUACACGCCUCUCCCCGACGUUGGUGGGCUGGUGGGUGGGGCGGCCGGGCUGGGCCCCGCGGAGGCGCAACUCGUGAUUGGCCGGCGCGCUUUCCCUGCGGCUCUGGCGAUUGGCGGCUGGCCGGGUGCGUGGCGCUGAUUGGGCGGCAGCCCGCCUUGGUCCCGCCCCGCCGCUGGGGUUGA
Molecule: long non-coding RNA, 1005 nt
Filed under: Zalophus californianus (California sea lion)
Lineage: Eukaryota; Metazoa; Chordata; Mammalia; Carnivora; Otariidae
Description: lncRNA (ENSZCAG00015016691.1)
Source: RNAcentral